AAUCUAUCGUUUGAUCCCAUUCCCUCUGGUAUGUGUGUGCGUUGGAAGGACUGCUGCGACUAGUCUGUUAUACGAUCUUGUUAAAAAGUAUCGUUCUAUUUCGUUUCCUCUGGUAUGCCUGUGUCCUAAAGGUCGCUGUGGAUAUUCUGCCUCUUCAAUUUGGUGGAGUUAGCGACUUUAGUGAUUGCUGGGCAUUCUUAAGGGGUGUCCUGUAUCAGUUCCUAAAAGUAGACGCACUGCUUUCCAGAACAGGAUGUGUAGCAAAUAACCAAUUGCUCGAUAACACCUGAGAUCACUAGCCAGCUUCGUUCAUAUUGGACAAAGGGGAAAAGCUUCUCUUCAAUUGAGGUAGCCAGGUUAAUCUGGCUGUUUAAAAAGGAGGAGUACUUUUGGCUGUUGAUUGGGCAACCACUGUUUCUUUCCUUUUUGUAUUUUUCUAUUUAUUUUCUUUUAAGUUUGAUCUCCCUCUACUUGGGUUUGCGCUGUGGGUUUGUGUAGGAAUUGAGUUCUUGUGUAUUGGGUGUUUGCUUAUUUGUUUAUUCUUUGGAUUUGAGGUGCGAUCGAAAUAUUUUUCAUACAGGUUUAUUUUUGAUGUGAUUUUUGUGUUUAAUUUUUUUUAUUAAAUGCCAGAACCCAUUCCUUUAUGCCCAGUGAGUGUUUAAAUCUGAACCAGUAGGGGGGGAAUCUGUUGAGUCUUUUUAUAUGUGAAGCUCGUAUUUUAUCAUUGCUGUUAAAUAAAUUGUAAACUCCUUUGUACUCUGGCUUCUAAUUCAUUCACUUGAAUUGCUUGAGCGGGUUGUCUUAUUUCUCCCACUAAGUUGCUAAAGUGGGGGUGGCGUAGUCACUCUUAGUUGAAUUAUCCCAAAUUAGGAAUUUAUAUCCUAUGGU
Molecule: long non-coding RNA, 888 nt
Organism: Tachysurus fulvidraco (yellow catfish)
Lineage: Eukaryota; Metazoa; Chordata; Actinopteri; Siluriformes; Bagridae
Exons: 4
Source: RefSeq, a predicted model, not a curated record